This is a long non-coding RNA of Equus caballus (horse), 2018 nucleotides long. Lineage: Eukaryota; Metazoa; Chordata; Mammalia; Perissodactyla; Equidae. The record is from Ensembl.
CUUUAAAUUCUUCGGGAAUGUCAUUUACAUUAGAUUUUGGCACCGUGAUUCUUUUAGUGCUCUUCGUCAACUUUUCUCUAAUAUUUGACAGUUAAAUUUCAUGGUCAGGACCACAAUCUGCUCCUGGUCCUGUUUUGGCAGAGAAAAUACAGCUUCUCCAUCUCCUGCUUUCACUUACGUAGUCUAUUUGAUUUCUAUAUUAUCCAUCUGGUGAUGUCCAUGUAGACAGUUGCCUGUUCAGUCGCUUUAAGCAUGUUUUUGCAAUGGACAGAUUGUCGGCUUCACAUAAAUCCGUGAGCCAGUCUCCUGCUUUGUUUCUGACCCCUUGACCGAAUUUUCUGCCAAUGUUUGAUUCCAUUUUAUUUCUUGCUUUUGUGUUCCAGUCACCUCUAAUUAUUAGCAUACCUUGUUUUACUGUAUGAUCAAUUUCUUCCAGGACACUUGAAUAAAAACUUUCAAUUUUAUCUUCUUCAGCAUCUGUGGUUGGAGCAUAGACUUGGGUGAUGGCUAUGUUAAUAGGUUUUCCCAGACGUCUGAUUAACAUUACUUGGUCAACCUUGCAUUGGAUCCCUAACUGCCUGUGCUACAUCUGGCCUCAGUAUUAGAGCCACUCUGUUUCUUUUGAGUUUGUCGUUUCCUGGGUAGAAGACUUUAUAGUGGUCUGAUUAAAAGUGUCUCGUUCUAGUCCAUUUUAGUUCACUAACACCAAGCACUGCAAUAUUUAAACAUUCCACUUCUUGCUUUACAAUUUCCAGUUUACCUUGGCUCAUGCUUCUCACACUGCAUGUUCCAAUUGCGUGUGUUGUACACCAUCAGACUUUCCUUUAACCCUCGUGCACUUCAGCAGCUAGAUAUCCUUCCAGCUUUAGUCUAAUUGCACAUUAACAAGACUGCUGUUCUUUUUCUUUUUUAAAGAUUGGCACCUGAGCUAACAACUGUUGCCAAUCUUUUCUUUUUUUUUUUUUCUGCUUUAUCUCCCGAAAUCCCCCCAAUACAUAGUUGUAUAUCUUAGUUGCAGGUCCUUCUAGUUGUGGCAUGUGGGUCACCGCCUCAACAUGGCCUGACGAGCAUGCCAUGUCCAUGCCCAGGAUCCGAACCAGUGAAACCGUGGGCUUCCGCAGCGGAGCACGUCAGCUUAACCACUCGGCCACGGGGCGGCCCCCAACACGCCAUUCUUAUUUGUUCUUUGCUCUUCCCCAGUAAGAGUGUGAGUGCCUUCGGACCUGGAGGUCUCAUCUCCCAGCAUUAUCUCAUAUUUCACUUUGGACUGUUUCAUCACAGGUUUCUCAAGAUCAAAAAAGCUAAAAAAGGAAAAAUAUAGCAGCGGUUUACCGUCAUCUUCUGCUGUACAGUGUGUGAGUCCAAACCACAUGUGCUCUGGCCCGUACUGUGAAAAUCACCAAACACCUAAGAUGAACUGUAUCCCACUCUAAAUUCAGCUACUUAUUGACCCAUAUUUGACACUUCAUCUCUAGUACACUUACAGUUUCUAUUUUGUUCUUGCAUUUGUUACUUCAGGAGUUACUGAGGUCUGAACAAUAUACUGUAAUUAGUCAGUUUGUAUGGACUAUGGCCUCCACAACUGGUCUCCCUGCGGUACGUUUUGUUAUUUAAACAAUGUUGCUAAUAUAAUAUGCAUGAGGAAAAUGUUGGUCCUAUUGUUUUUGCAGCCUGUGAUGUUUUCAAAUCUUUCAACAAAAUAAAAAUGAAGCUUGCAAUAUGACAGAGCAAAUGCCUAAUAAUAUAGUGCCCAUAUUUUGUUUUUCCUUCCAUGGAUUUCCUAAAUUCAGAACUCUUGAUUUCAUAGCAUCAACAUACAAGACAGUUGUCUACAUGCUGUGCAUUCUGCCUAAGACCACAUGUGAACUGCAAAGGAGUUAGAUGAAGAAUGAUAGCUCAACAACCACGUUUUCUGAAGCCAUGAAAGCUGGCAUGACUCCAGAUGUCAAGAGGAAGGCUUGCCUCCCCUGCUCACCAGCCCACCAGGGCUCCAUGCACCCCAAGUUGUACCAAAGGUU